RNAcentral lists this unclassified non-coding RNA (261 nucleotides) under Hevea brasiliensis (rubber tree). Lineage: Eukaryota; Viridiplantae; Streptophyta; Magnoliopsida; Malpighiales; Euphorbiaceae. The record is from RNAcentral.
AUCAAAAAACCUCGUCUGCACAUAGCUAGCAGAGUUUUGCCAGUACAGACAUGCCAUAUCUCCAGCUCUUGUCCUCAACUCCAACAAAUUACGAUCAAUCUCAGUUUCAUGCUUUAGCACUACCGGUCUAAAGAAGGAAUCAUAUACAUAUGUUGUUCCCUUUGUUUUGGGGCACCACAAAUAUAUGAUGAAUGCCAACUUAGCUUCACUGUACAUUGGAACCCAUGAAACAAAAGCAUCGCCAACUCUUUCACAUACUGU